Molecule: ribosomal RNA, 253 nt
Filed under: uncultured bacterium
Lineage: Bacteria
Description: partial 16S ribosomal RNA
Rfam family: Bacterial small subunit ribosomal RNA
Source: RNAcentral
UACGGGGGGGGCAAGCGUUGUUCGGAAUUACUGGGCGUAAAGGGCUCGUAGGCGGCCAACUAAGUCAGACGUGAAAUCCCUCGGCUUAACCGGGGAACUGCGUCUGAUACUGGAUGGCUUGAGUUUGGGAGAGGGAUGCGGAAUUCCAGGUGUAGCGGUGAAAUGCGUAGAUAUCUGGAGGAACACCGGUGGCGAAGGCGGCAUCCUGGACCAACACUGACGCUGAUGAGCGAAAGCCAGGGGAGCAAAUGGG